AUUGAACGCUGGCGGCAUGCUUUACACAUGCAAGUCGAACGGUAACAGGUUAAGCUGACGAGUGGCGAACGGGUGAGUAAUGCAUCGGAACGUGCCCGGUCGUGGGGGAUAACGCAGCGAAAGUUGCGCUAAUACCGCAUACGAUCUGAGGAUGAAAGCGGGGGACCGUAAGGCCUCGCGCGAUCGGAGCGGCCGAUGUCAGAUUAGGUAGAUGGUGGGGUAAAGGCUCACCAAGCCAACGAUCUGUAGCUGGUCUGAGAGGACGACCAGCCACACUGGGACUGAGACACGGCCCAGACUCCUACGGGAGGCAGCAGUGGGGAAUGUUGGACAAUGGGCGAAAGCCUGAUCCAGCAAUGCCGCGUGCAGGAAGAAGGCCUUCGGGUUGUAAACUGCUUUUGUACGGAGCGAAAAGGUCUCCUCUAAUACAGGGGGCUCAUGACGGUACCGUAAGAAUAAGCACCGGCUAACUACGUGCCAGCAGCCGCAGUAA
RNAcentral lists this ribosomal RNA (493 nucleotides) under uncultured bacterium. Its description in RNAcentral is "partial 16S ribosomal RNA". It matches the Rfam family "Bacterial small subunit ribosomal RNA", at positions 29 to 523 of the family's 1533-position model. The record is from RNAcentral.